CUCUGUGAUCCCUACGGGGAGGCAGCAGUGGGGAAUAUUGCACAAUGGGGGAAACCCUGAUGCAGCCAUGCCGCGUGUGUGAAGAGGACCUUCGGGUUGUAAAGCACUUUCAGUAGGGAGGAAGGUAGUGUAGUUAACACCUGCAUUAUUUGACGUUACCUACAGAAGAAGCACCGGCUAACUCCGUGCCAGCAGCCGCGGUAAUACGGAGGGUGCGAGCGUUAAUCGGAAUUACUGGGCGUAAAGCGCAUGCAGGCGGCCUGUUAAGUCAGAUGUGAAAGCCCGGGGCUUAACCUCGGAAUUGCAUUUAGAAACUGGCAGGCUAGAGUCUUGUAGAGGGGGGUAGGAAUUUCAGGUGUAGCGGUGAAAUGCGUAGAGAUCUGAAGGAAUACCAGUGGCGAAGGCGGCCCCCUGGACAAAGACUGACGCUCAGAUGCGAAAGCGUGGGGAGCAAACAGGAUUAGAUACCCUGGUAG
This 476-nucleotide ribosomal RNA is filed under the name uncultured bacterium. RNAcentral's name for it is "bacterial SSU rRNA". It matches the Rfam family "Bacterial small subunit ribosomal RNA", at positions 328 to 793 of the family's 1533-position model. The record is from RNAcentral.